UGGUGGUACGAACUGUCUGGUUAAUUCCGAUAACGAACGAGACUCUAACCUGCUAAAUAGUACAUGUGCAUUUGUUAUGUGGACCCCCUGUACCGAUGCUUCGGUGUCGGGAUAGGACCAUAUAAGCAGGUGAAACUUCUUAGAGGAACAGGCACCGAAAAGGUGCACGAAAGAGAGCAAUAACA
This 185-nucleotide ribosomal RNA is filed under the name uncultured eukaryote. Its description in RNAcentral is "partial 18S ribosomal RNA". It matches the Rfam family "Eukaryotic small subunit ribosomal RNA", at positions 1299 to 1458 of the family's 1831-position model. The record is from RNAcentral.